This 209-nucleotide long non-coding RNA is filed under the name Phoenix dactylifera (date palm). RNAcentral's name for it is "long non-coding RNA (PDAC_LNC010039)". Lineage: Eukaryota; Viridiplantae; Streptophyta; Magnoliopsida; Arecales; Arecaceae. The record is from RNAcentral.
GUUAGCCGCAAUGAUUACAGGGAGGGUAUCUUCUGGUCCUAGAAAGGCAUACUUAAGAGUUGUCGGAAGUGGCUUUAACUCAAGUUUAGGUGGAGAAUCAAUGGAAGGACAAAGUGGUGCGCUAGCAAUAGGGGGAAGAGGUUCAGGUCGGAUCUUCCAAGGAAGGGAACUCAUGGAAGAUUGAUUGUCGAGUAAGAUGUUAACUUCUU